This 498-nucleotide ribosomal RNA is filed under the name uncultured bacterium. RNAcentral's name for it is "partial 16S ribosomal RNA". It matches the Rfam family "Bacterial small subunit ribosomal RNA", at positions 28 to 507 of the family's 1533-position model. The record is from RNAcentral.
GACGAACGCUGGCGGCGUGCCUAAUACAUGCGAGUCGAACGAGAGCGACCGGUGCUUGCACUGGUCAAUCUAGUGGCGAACGGGUGAGUAACACGUGGGUAACCUGCCCAUCAGAGGGGGAUAACAUCCGGAAACGGAUGCUAAAACCGCAUAGGUCUUCGAGCCGCAUGGCUUGAAGAGGAAAAGAGGCGCAAGCUUCUGCUGAUGGAUGGACCCGCGGUGCAUUAGCUAGUUGGUGAGGUAACGGCUCACCAAGGCCGUGAUGCAUAGCCGACCUGAGAGGGUGCUCGGCCACAUUGGGACUGAGACACGGCCCAAACUCCUACGGGAGGCAGCAGUAGGGAAUCUUCCGCAAUGGACGCAAGUCUGACGGAGCAACGCCGCGUGAGUGAAGAAGGUUUUCGGAUCGUAAAACUCUGUUGUUAGAGAAGAACAAGUGCUAGAGUAACUGUUAGCGCCUUGACGGUAUCUAACCAGAAAGCCACGGCUAACUACGUG